This 73-nucleotide transfer RNA is filed under the name Agrilus planipennis (emerald ash borer). It matches the Rfam family "tRNA". Rfam says of the family: Transfer RNA (tRNA) molecules are approximately 80 nucleotides in length. Lineage: Eukaryota; Metazoa; Arthropoda; Insecta; Coleoptera; Buprestidae. The record is from Rfam by way of RNAcentral.
CCUCUUGUAGCUCAGCGAUUACAGCAUUGGUGCGUAAGGCCAAAGGUCCCGGGUUCGAUUCCCGGCGAGGGCG